AGGAGAAGGAUCUGAUUGGAGCCCUAAUUUCCAAUUUCUGAUUGAGAGAUGCCCCGAACACCAUAACCGCCGCCGCAUCUCCAGCACUACCCACCCCCCUCCACCUUGCGGUGAUGAUGGUGCAGCAUCGGGGGACCAUCCUUGUCGAAGACAAGAGCCUAGAUCAGCGACGCCCAUUAGAGGCCCUCGGCGAUGUGGUGGCCGAAAAUGUGGACCCAUCUAUAAACCAUCAUUGAGGCUACAGACAGCGAGCUAUCAUGGCCGUGCUCCAGUUAAUAGCAACGACGGAUAUUUUGAAGUUAGGGAUGGAGAAGGCACUGGCGUUGAAUGGAAUAAGGACAAGUUAUAGCGGCUGCCACGGCCACGAUGGGAGAAGAAGAGGAGGGGAAGGAUAGCUACAGGUGACGAUCAAAAAAGAAAGAACAAGAGGAUGAUCUUCUCAAAGAGGCAAGACUAGGAGAAAGAAAGGGGUUUCUCUCUAAAACACCUGGAGCUUCUUAUUCUAGAUCUGCUCCAGUGUAACGAGUACAACUUACAAGAACACACCUAUAGUAAUCACUAAUAAGGGGUUCGGGUAUAAACUGUACAAGCGCGUUUACAAAGAUGUAGAAGGUUCCACGGUACAUCUUUCUUUCUAGAGAGGAAGAAUCCUCUGUAAAUCGUGGCAUUACAAUCCUUGCACUGUAGAUACGAAGAGCUCUCUACCGUCUAAGCAGGAUAUCUUCAAGAUCGAGGGUAAACCAUACGCUAUGAGAGACUUUUGAGUGAACUGCUACCAAGGAGCUGUAAACCCCAUCCUCGAUAUUAAUCAGCGUUUCAUGCUUUCCUUCC
This 831-nucleotide long non-coding RNA is filed under the name Elaeis guineensis (African oil palm). RNAcentral's name for it is "long non-coding RNA (EGUI_LNC052101)". Lineage: Eukaryota; Viridiplantae; Streptophyta; Magnoliopsida; Arecales; Arecaceae. The record is from RNAcentral.